Molecule: non-coding RNA, 471 nt
Organism: Salvelinus sp. IW2-2015
Lineage: Eukaryota; Metazoa; Chordata; Actinopteri; Salmoniformes; Salmonidae
Source: RefSeq, a predicted model, not a curated record
AUAUUACUGAAAUGUGCUCCGUUAGGGGCAGAAAACACAGCGCUGACCCCUCCCAUACAGAAAGCAGCUGGAAAAGAAUUGAAUCUGGAAGGUGCUCCGUUAGAGGCAGAAAACACAGCGCUGACCCCUCCCAUACAGAAAGCAGCUGGAAAAGAAUUGAAACUGGAAGAGACAAAAAACCUAAUAGAAGGGGCAGAAAACACAGUGACGACUCCUACCGAACAGAGAGCAGCUGGUAAAGAAGUUAAUCUGAAAGAUUGGCACCAGGUGAAAUGAUUCAAAGAGAACAUCAUUCUGGAUGGAAAGACUGCGCACCCUGCUAUUAGAGUCAAUCAAAGAAAGCGUGCUAGUUACAUUAAAGAAAAAGAUACAGAAAAACCCUCUGUUAGAAUGCAUCUCCAUGUAUUUUCUCAAGAGAGUUUCAGUUCAGGACGACACUAUUGGGAAGUGAAGGUAAAGGAUCAAUCAACA